Molecule: ribosomal RNA, 781 nt
Filed under: Lactiplantibacillus plantarum
Lineage: Bacteria; Bacillati; Bacillota; Bacilli; Lactobacillales; Lactobacillaceae
Description: bacterial SSU rRNA
Rfam family: Bacterial small subunit ribosomal RNA
Source: RNAcentral
GAUUGGUGCUUGCAUCAUGAUUUACAUUUGAGUGAGUGGCGAACUGGUGAGUAACACGUGGGAAACCUGCCCAGAAGCGGGGGAUAACACCUGGAAACAGAUGCUAAUACCGCAUAACAACUUGGACCGCAUGGUCCGAGUUUGAAAGAUGGCUUCGGCUAUCACUUUUGGAUGGUCCCGCGGCGUAUUAGCUAGAUGGUGGGGUAACGGCUCACCAUGGCAAUGAUACGUAGCCGACCUGAGAGGGUAAUCGGCCACAUUGGGACUGAGACACGGCCCAAACUCCUACGGGAGGCAGCAGUAGGGAAUCUUCCACAAUGGACGAAAGUCUGAUGGAGCAACGCCGCGUGAGUGAAGAAGGGUUUCGGCUCGUAAAACUCUGUUGUUAAAGAAGAACAUAUCUGAGAGUAACUGUUCAGGUAUUGACGGUAUUUAACCAGAAAGCCACGGCUAACUACGUGCCAGCAGCCGCGGUAAUACGUAGGUGGCAAGCGUUGUCCGGAUUUAUUGGGCGUAAAGCGAGCGCAGGCGGUUUUUUAAGUCUGAUGUGAAAGCCUUCGGCUCAACCGAAGAAGUGCAUCGGAAACUGGGAAACUUGAGUGCAGAAGAGGACAGUGGAACUCCAGGUGUAGCGGUGAAAUGCGUAGUUAUAUGGAAGAACACCGGUGGCGAAGGCGGCUGUCUGGUCUGUAACUGACGCUGAGGCUCGAAAGUAUGGGUAGCAAACAGGAUUAGAUACCCUGGUAGUCCAUACCGUAAACGAUGAAUGCUAAGUGGUUUG